AAUAAGGGACGGCUAACUACGUGCCAGCAGCCGCGGUAAUACGUAGGUCCCGAACGUUGCGCGAAAUUACUGGGCGUAAAGGGUCCGUAGGCGGUUUAGUAAGUGGAAGGUGAAAUCCUACGGCUCAACCGUAGAAUUGCCUUCCAAACUGCUGAACUUGAGGCAGGGAGAGGUCGGCGGAAUUCCCGGUGUAGCGGUGAAAUGCGUAGAUAUCGGGAGGAAC
Molecule: ribosomal RNA, 223 nt
Filed under: uncultured bacterium
Lineage: Bacteria
Description: partial 16S rRNA
Rfam family: Bacterial small subunit ribosomal RNA
Source: RNAcentral